UACGGGGGGAGCAAGCGUUGUUCGGAUUUACUGGGCGUAAAGGGCGCGUAGGCGGCCACUGCAAGUCGGUUGUGAAAUCUCCGGGCUUAACCCGGAAAGGUCAGCCGAUACUGCGGGGCUAGAGUGCAGAAGGGGCAACUGGAAUUCUCGGUGUAGCGGUGAAAUGCGUAGAUAUCGAGAGGAACACCUGCGGCGAAGGCGGGUUGCUGGGCUGACACUGACGCUGAGGCGCGAAAGCUAGGGGAGCGAACGGG
RNAcentral lists this ribosomal RNA (254 nucleotides) under uncultured bacterium. RNAcentral describes it as "partial 16S ribosomal RNA". It matches the Rfam family "Bacterial small subunit ribosomal RNA", at positions 524 to 776 of the family's 1533-position model. The record is from RNAcentral.